GUGGAAAAGGAAGUUAGAACACUCAGACAGCCAGGAGGUUGGCUUAGAAGCAGCCAUUCCUUUAAAAAGUGCGUAACAGCUUACUGGUCAAGUGUCCUUGCGCCGAAAAUGUAACGGGGCUAGAGCAAAACACCGAAAUCACGGAUUGUGUGUGGAUUUAUUUUCAUGCAUGAUGGUAGAAGAGCGUUCACUAGAGCGUUGAAGAGAGAGACGUGAGUCCUCUUGGAGUUAAGUGAAGUGAGAAUGUAGGCAUGAGUAACGCAAAGGCAGGUGAGAAACCUGCCCGCCAAAAACCCAAGGAUUCCAGAGCAAGGAUAAUCCGCUCUGGGUUAGUCGGCCCCUAAGGCAAAGCCGAAAGGCGUAGUCGAUGGGAAAGGGAUUAAUAUUUCUCUACUAAUCAGAUUGUGCGAUGGACAGACGCGGAAGGUCCAGCCCUGCCAGGGAACGGUUGUCCUGGUCUAAGGUCAAAGGCGUGCUUUUUUUAAUAGAUGAAGCUUAGCUGAAGACCGAAUGCCAAGCAAUUGAAAGAAAGCUGAAGAGGGUUUCGCCAUGCCGCCAAGAAAUACGUUCUAAGUUUAGAUCUGAUUAACCGUACCGUAAACCGACUCAGGUAGGUGGGAUGAGUAUUCUAAGGCGAUCGAGAGAACUACAGCUAAGGAACUCGGCAAAUUCGCUCCGUAACUUCGGAAGAAGGAGCGCCAGUUUAGGAUGAAGAGCUUGCUUUUCGUUUUGAAUUGGCCGCAGUGAAAAGAUUCAGGCGACUGUUUAGCAAAAACACAGGACUCUGCUAACCCGCAAGGGGAUGUAUAGGGUCUGACACCUGCCCGGUGCCGGAAGGUUAAGAGGAGAUGUUAGCCUAGCUUGUCUAGGCGAAGCAUUGAAUUGAAGCCCCGGUAAACGGCGGCCGUAACUAUAACGGUCCUAAGGUAGCGAAAUUCCUUGUCGGGUAAGUUCCGACCUGCACGAAUGGUGUAACGAUCUGAAUGCUGUCUCAGUUGUAGACUCGGUGAAAUUAAACGACCAGUGAAAAUGCUGGUUACUUGCAGAAGGACGGAAAGACCCCGGAACCUUUACUGUAGCUUAAUCUUGGUUUUUUGUGAAGCAUGUGUAGCAUAGGUGGGAGAUUGUGAUCCUUAGUCGCUAGAUUAAGGGGAGUCACCAAGUGAAAUACCACCCUUGUUUUUUGGAAAAUCUAAUUUGCGCAAGCAAAGACAGGGUUUGGUGGGCAGUUUAACUGGGGUGGUUGCCUCCUAAAGAGUAACGGAGGCGUACAAAGGCCGGUUCAGCAUGUAUGGAAAGCAUGUGUAGAGCGUAAUGGCAAAAGCCGGCUUGACUGUGAGACCGACGGGUCGAUCAGGUGUGAAAGCAGGUCAUAGUGAUCCGGUGGUUCUGAGUGGAAGGGCCAUCGCUCAACGGCUAAAAGGUACUCCGGGGAUAACAGGCUUU
RNAcentral lists this ribosomal RNA (1446 nucleotides) under Patiria pectinifera. RNAcentral's name for it is "bacterial LSU rRNA". It matches the Rfam family "Bacterial large subunit ribosomal RNA", at positions 1063 to 2485 of the family's 2925-position model. Lineage: Eukaryota; Metazoa; Echinodermata; Asteroidea; Valvatida; Asterinidae. The record is from RNAcentral.